UCGAUCAGCGUCCUCCAGAAUGGACCA
RNAcentral lists this non-coding RNA (27 nucleotides) under Homo sapiens (human). The record is from RNAcentral. Lineage: Eukaryota; Metazoa; Chordata; Mammalia; Primates; Hominidae.